GGUUAAGCGACUAAGCGUACACGGUGGAUGCCCUGGCAGUCAGAGGCGAUGAAGGACGUGCUAAUCUGCGAUAAGCGUCGGUAAGGUGAUAUGAACCGUUAUAACCGGCGAUUUCCGAAUGGGGAAACCCAGUGUGUUUCGACACACUAUCAUUAACUGAAUCCAUAGGUUAAUGAGGCGAACCGGGGGAACUGAAACAUCUAAGUACCCCGAGGAAAAGAAAUCAACCGAGAUUCCCCCAGUAGCGGCGAGCGAACGGGGAGCAGCCCAGAGCCUGAAUCAGUGUGUGUGUUAGUGGAAGCGUCUGGAAAGGCGCGCGAUACAGGGUGACAGCCCCGUACACAAAAAUGCACAUGCUGUGAGCUCGAUGAGUAGGGCGGGACACGUGGUAUCCUGUCUGAAUAUGGGGGGACCAUCCUCCAAGGCUAAAUACUCCUGACUGACCGAUAGUGAACCAGUACCGUGAGGGAAAGGCGAAAAGAACCCCGGCGAGGGGAGUGAAAAAGAACCUGAAACCGUGUACGUA
RNAcentral lists this ribosomal RNA (526 nucleotides) under Escherichia coli. RNAcentral describes it as "partial 23S ribosomal RNA". It matches the Rfam family "Bacterial large subunit ribosomal RNA", at positions 1 to 566 of the family's 2925-position model. The record is from RNAcentral. Lineage: Bacteria; Pseudomonadati; Pseudomonadota; Gammaproteobacteria; Enterobacterales; Enterobacteriaceae.